RNAcentral lists this ribosomal RNA (301 nucleotides) under uncultured bacterium. Its description in RNAcentral is "partial 16S ribosomal RNA". It matches the Rfam family "Bacterial small subunit ribosomal RNA", at positions 509 to 808 of the family's 1533-position model. The record is from RNAcentral.
CAGUAGCACGGUAAUACGAAGGGUGCAAGCGUUACUCGGAAUUACUGGGCGUAAAGCGUGCGUAGGUGGUGGUUUAAGUCCGUUGUGAAAGCCCUGGGCUCAACCUGGGAAUUGCAGUGGAUACUGGGUCACUAGAGUGUGGUAGAGGAUAGUGGAAUUUCCGGUGUAGCAGUGAAAUGCGUAGAGAUCGGAAGGAACAUCUGUGGCGAAGGCGACUAUCUGGGCCAACACUGACACUGAGGCACGAAAGCGUGGGGAGCAAACAGGAUUAGAUACCCGCGUAGUCCCUGUCUCUUAUACA